This 777-nucleotide ribosomal RNA is filed under the name Enterococcus faecalis. Its description in RNAcentral is "bacterial SSU rRNA". It matches the Rfam family "Bacterial small subunit ribosomal RNA", at positions 27 to 768 of the family's 1533-position model. Lineage: Bacteria; Bacillati; Bacillota; Bacilli; Lactobacillales; Enterococcaceae. The record is from RNAcentral.
GGACGACCGCUGGGGGCGUCCUAAUACAUACAAAGUCGAACGCUUCUUUCCUCCCGAGUGCUUGCCCUCAAAUUGGAAAGGGGGAGGGGCGGACGGGUGAGUAACACGUGGGGUAACCUACCCAUCAGAGGGGGAUAACACUUGGAAACAGGUGCUUAAUACCGCAUAACAGUUUAUGCCGCAUGGCAUAAGAGUAAAAGGCGCUUUUCGGGUGUCGCUGAUGGAUGGACCCCGCGGGUGCAUUAGAUAGUUGGUGAGGUAACGGCUCACCAAGGCCACGAUGCAUAGCCGACCUGAGAGGGUGAUCGGCCACACUGGGACUGAGACACGGCCCAGACUCCUACGGGAGGCAGCAGUAGGGAAUUUUCGGCAAUGGACGAAAGUCUGACCGAGCAACGCCGCGUGAGUGAAGAAGGUUUUCGGAUCGUAAAACUCUGUUGUUAGAGAAGAACAAGGACGUUAGUAACUGAACGUCCCCUGACGGUAUCUAACCAGAAAGCCACGGCUAACUACGUGCCAGCAGCCGCGGUAAUACGUAGGUGGCAAGCGUUGUCCGGAUUUAUUGGGCGUAAAGCGAGCGCAGGCGGUUUCUUAAGUCUGAUGUGAAAGCCCCCGGCUCAACCGGGGAGGGUCAUUGGAAACUGGGAGACUUGAGUGCAGAAGAGGAGAGUGGAAUUCCAUGUGUAGCGGUGAAAUGCGUAGAUAUAUGGAGGAACACCAGUGGCGAAGGCGGCUCUCUGGUCUGUAACUGACGNNGAGNCUCGAAAANNNNGNNNA